Molecule: ribosomal RNA, 494 nt
Filed under: uncultured bacterium
Lineage: Bacteria
Description: partial 16S ribosomal RNA
Rfam family: Bacterial small subunit ribosomal RNA
Source: RNAcentral
GACGAACGCUGGCGGCGUGCUUAACACAUGCAAGUCGAACGGUGAAGCGCCUUCCUUUUUGGUGGGUGUGGAUGAGUGGCGAACGGGUGAGUAACACGUGAGUAACCUGCCCCCUUCUUCUGGAUAACCGCAUGAAAGUGUGGCUAAUACGGGAUAUUCUGGGUCUGUCGCAUGAUGGGUCUGGGAAAGAUAUUGUUUCGGUGGGGGAUGGGCUCGCGGCCUAUCAGCUUGUUGGUGGGGUGAUGGCCUACCAAGGCGGUGACGGGUAGCCGGCCUGAGAGGGUGGACGGUCACACUGGGACUGAGCCACGGCCCAGACUCCUACGGGAGGCAGCAGUGGGGAAUAUUGCACAAUGGGCGCAAGCCUGAUGCAGCGCCGCCGCGUGAGGGAUGGAGGCCUUCGGGUUGUGAACCUCUUUCGCCAGUGAAGCAGGCCUGCCUCGUUUGUGGGUGGGUUGACGGUAGCUGGAUAAGAAGCGCCGGCUAACUACGUG